This 88-nucleotide transfer RNA is filed under the name Acidimicrobiales bacterium. RNAcentral's name for it is "tRNA-Ser". It matches the Rfam family "tRNA". From Rfam's summary of the family: Transfer RNA (tRNA) molecules are approximately 80 nucleotides in length. Their secondary structure includes four short double-helical elements and three loops (D, anti-codon, and T loops). The record is from RNAcentral. Lineage: Bacteria; Bacillati; Actinomycetota; Acidimicrobiia; Acidimicrobiales.
GGAGGGAUGGCAGAGCGGACGAAUGCGCUGGUCUUGAAAACCAGUGGGCCGCAAGGUCCCGCGGGUUCGAAUCCCGCUCCCUCCGCCA